AGUGAACGCUGGCGGUAGGCCUAACACAUGCAAGUCGAACGGCAGCACAGGAGAGCUUGCUCUCUGGGUGGCGAGUGGCGGACGGGUGAGGAAUACAUCGGAAUCUACUUUUUCGUGGGGGAUGACGUAGGGAAGCUUACGCUAAUACCGCAUACGACCUACGGGUGAAAGCAGGGGACCUUCAGGCCUUGCGCGCUAGAAUGAGCCGAUGUCGGAGUAGCUAGUUGGCGGGGUAAAGGCCCACCAAGGCGACGAUCCGUAGCUGGUCUGAGAGGAUGAUCAGCCACACUGGAACUGAGACACGGUCCAGACUCCUACGGGAGGCAGCAGUGGGGAAUAUUGGACAAUGGGCGCAAGCCUGAUCCAGCCAUACCGCGUGGGUGAAGAAGGCCUUCGGGUUGUAAAGCCCUUUUGUUGGGAAAGAAAUCCAGCUGGCUAAUACCCGGUUGGGAUGACGGUACCCAAAGAAUAAGCACCGGCUAACUUCGUGCCAGCAGCCGCAGUAA
RNAcentral lists this ribosomal RNA (506 nucleotides) under uncultured bacterium. RNAcentral's name for it is "partial 16S ribosomal RNA". It matches the Rfam family "Bacterial small subunit ribosomal RNA", at positions 29 to 523 of the family's 1533-position model. The record is from RNAcentral.